This 492-nucleotide ribosomal RNA is filed under the name uncultured bacterium. Its description in RNAcentral is "partial 16S ribosomal RNA". It matches the Rfam family "Bacterial small subunit ribosomal RNA", at positions 29 to 507 of the family's 1533-position model. The record is from RNAcentral.
AGUGAACGCUGGCGGUAGGCCUAACACAUGCAAGUCGAACGGCAGCACAGUAAGAGCUUGCUCUUACGGGUGGCGAGUGGCGGACGGGUGAGGAAUACAUCGGAAUCUACUUUUUCGUGAGGGAUAACGUAGGGAAACUUACGCUAAUACCGCAUACGACCUACGGGUGAAAGCAGGGGAUCUUCGGACCUUGCGCGAUUGAAUGAGCCGAUGUCGGAUUAGCUAGUUGGCGGGGUAAAGGCCCACCAAGGCGACGAUCCGUAGCUGGUCUGAGGGGAUGAUCAGCCACACUGGAACUGAGACACGGUCCAGACUCCUACGGGAGGCAGCAGUGGGGAAUAUUGGACAAUGGGCGCAAGCCUGAUCCAGCCAUACCGCGUGGGUGAAGAAGGCCUUCGGGUUGUAAAGCCCUUUUGUUGGGAAAGAAAAGCAGCAGGUUAAUACCCCGCUGUUCUGACGGUACCCAAAGAAUAAGCACCGGCUAACUUCGUG